GUUUCGCCGCUGGAUAUCGGCAAAGUGAGCCAUGGCCGUGUAGGAACGCCUGAAAUGGCCACACACCUUCCUGGCCUGCUUCAGGACGUCCUGUAAGCCUGUGUACUUAUGCACAAAGCGUUGUACGAUCAGAUUACACACAUGUGCCAUGCACGGCACAUGUGUCAACUUGCCCAACUUCAAUGCCGCUAACAAAUUUGUUCCGUUGUCACAAACCACUUUGCCGAUAUCCAGUCGCUGCGGAGUCAGCCAUUUUUCCACCUGUGCGUUCAUGGCGGACAGGAGUGCUUGUCCGGUGUGACUCUCUGCUUUCAAGCAAGUCAAACCCAAGACGGCGUGACACUGCCGUAUCCGGGAUGUGGAAUAGUACCUGGGGAGCUGGGGGGGUGCCGUUGAUGUGGAGC
Pelobates cultripes (western spadefoot toad) is the source of this 404-nucleotide non-coding RNA. The record is from the annotation of a GenBank genome assembly. NCBI's taxonomy places the organism in Eukaryota, Metazoa, Chordata, Amphibia, Anura, Pelobatidae.